AAACAGGCGACUUGCGAACCGGGGCGCCUCAUGCAACCCAUAAUCCCACUUCAGGAAUAUACUAAAUGCGCAUUCGCAAACGCACGUUUCUGAGGCGCUGGAGAUGGGACUUGCCGUGACAGAACCAGGAGAACCAGAUCAAUGGUGCAGGUAUGUGCGAGUGUGAAAUGGAUCAAACUUGCAAAUAUAGUAUCUUAAGAUAGGUUCUCCCACCUUAAGGCUUGAUCCUUUGGUGUAAUGAUAGACUACCCACAGUGAGGAAACGGCCAAUCGUUUAUUUAGUUGGCCUUGACCCUGAUGUGUCGCCUAACGAGCAACAGCAGCCGUUGGGGCGGCGAGCGUUACAGAGAGUUUACCCCAUAGUAUAAAAUAGAUC
This 376-nucleotide small RNA is filed under the name Histoplasma ohiense. Its description in RNAcentral is "hypothetical lncRNA". The record is from RNAcentral. Lineage: Eukaryota; Fungi; Ascomycota; Eurotiomycetes; Onygenales; Ajellomycetaceae.